RNAcentral lists this transfer RNA (73 nucleotides) under Medicago truncatula (barrel medic). Its description in RNAcentral is "tRNA-OTHER". The record is from RNAcentral. Lineage: Eukaryota; Viridiplantae; Streptophyta; Magnoliopsida; Fabales; Fabaceae.
GUGAGCUUAGCUCAGCUGGUAAGGACAUUGCAUUAUAUAUGCAAGGUCCGGAGUUCAAAUCUCGGCCACCACC